This 348-nucleotide small RNA is filed under the name Arabidopsis thaliana (thale cress). RNAcentral describes it as "ATSL108490". The record is from RNAcentral. Lineage: Eukaryota; Viridiplantae; Streptophyta; Magnoliopsida; Brassicales; Brassicaceae.
AUUAUAAUUUUAUGUUUGAUCGGAUAGAUUUUGGAUAAUUUGGCUAUUUAGGAUAUUUCGGAUAAUACGAUUCGAAAAUCUGAAUGCCUAGACCUAUUGGAAACUACAAAAAGUAUAUAGUAUUGUAUUUGUGGUUCUUAACUUGUAUGAUCUUUCAUUUUUUACCUGUUUUUAGGUAAUUCAUCCCUUCUUGUUUUUUUUUUGGUUUUUCCUUUUUAAUUAUCUUCACUGGUAACAAAUUUCUAAAUGAUUCAGAGUUUGUGUAUGCGAGAUUAAAGAUUGAAAUUUCAUAUAAAUUAUAAUUAUUGAAAUCUCAAUAACUAGAUAUCAUUCUACUCUCAUUUUUCU